CGCAUCAUUAAUUUAAAAAAAAAAGUUGAUUAAAAACACUAAUUUUAAAUUUAGAAAAUUUAAACUUAAAAAAUAAAAAUAACGUAUAUUACUAAUGUAUCACAAUAUGCAUAAAACGGAACAAAUCUUUCAGCACUUUUAAAUUUAAUUCCUUACCCCAUGGAUUAAAUUAAAAUAAGAUAAGAUAAAACACUAUGCUUUCUCUUUUUUUUACCCGUUCCGUCCCUUUAUAAACCAUUGUUUGCUUCCCAAAUUCCCAUCAUUAACAAAGUAUCUGAUCUUCUUUAUAUUUUCUCUGGACUCAUAUAUAUAUAUAUAGUGAUCACAAGGCUCUUAUUCUUUCCUAUCAAUCUAUCGUUACACCAAUGGCCAUGCGAAAGAUUUAUGCAUCUCUCCCUGCUGUAGCUGCCGGAGUUGGAUGGCACGGAUUCCAUGCGCCGUGCGUGUUUGGCUAAUCAGUAUGCCUAACAUUUAAUUUUAGCUGACUGGUACGCUAGGUAAAGAGAGC
RNAcentral lists this long non-coding RNA (508 nucleotides) under Arachis ipaensis. Its description in RNAcentral is "long non-coding RNA (AIPA_LNC000310)". Lineage: Eukaryota; Viridiplantae; Streptophyta; Magnoliopsida; Fabales; Fabaceae. The record is from RNAcentral.